Molecule: ribosomal RNA, 447 nt
Filed under: uncultured bacterium
Lineage: Bacteria
Description: bacterial SSU rRNA
Rfam family: Bacterial small subunit ribosomal RNA
Source: RNAcentral
UCGUCAGCUCGUGUCGUGAGAUGUUGGGUUAAGUCCCGCCACGAGCGCAACCCUUGUCACUAGUUGCUACGCAAGAGCACUUUAGUGAGACUAAAAAAAACAAAACGGAGGAAGGUGGGGACGACGUCAAAUCAUCAUGCCCCUUAUGACCUGGGCUACACACGUACUACAAAGGUCGUUAACAGAGGGAAGCAAUACCGCGAGGUGGAGCAAACCCCUAAAAACGAUCCCAGUUCAGAUUGUAGGCUGCAACUCGCCUAUAUGAAGUUGGAAUUGCUAGUAAUCGCGGAUCAGCAUGCCGCGGUGAAUACGUUCCCGGGCCUUGUACACACCGCCAGUCACACCAUGGGAGCCGGUAAUACCCGAAGUCAGUAGUCUAACCGCAAGGGGGACGCUGCCGAAGGUAGGUAAGGGCGACUGGGGUGAAGUCGUAACAAGGUAACCGUA